UACGGAAGGGGCAAGCGUUGUUCGGAAUCAUUGGGCGUAAAGGGCGCGUAGGCGGCGUGACAAGUCACUUGUGAAAUCUCCGGGCUUAACUCGGAACGGUCAAGUGAUACUGUCGUGCUAGAGUACAGAAGGGGCAACUGGAAUUCUCGGUGUAGCGGUGAAAUGCGUAGAUAUCGAGAGGAACACCUGCGGCGAAGGCGGGUUGCUGGGCUGAUACUGACGCUGAGGCGCGAAAGCUAGGGGAGCGAACGGG
Molecule: ribosomal RNA, 253 nt
Filed under: uncultured bacterium
Lineage: Bacteria
Description: partial 16S ribosomal RNA
Rfam family: Bacterial small subunit ribosomal RNA
Source: RNAcentral